GAUGAACGCUGGCGGCGUGCCUAAUACAUGCAAGUCGAGCGAACAGACGAGGAGCUUGCUCCUCUGACGUUAGCGGCGGACGGGUGAGUAACACGUGGAUAACCUACCUAUAAGACUGGGAUAACUUCGGGAAACCGGAGCUAAUACCGGAUAAUAUAUUGAACCGCAUGGUUCAAUAGUGAAAGACGGUUUUGCUGUCACUUAUAGAUGGAUCCGCGCCGCAUUAGCUAGUUGGUAAGGUAACGGCUUACCAAGGCAACGAUGCGUAGCCGACCUGAGAGGCUGAUCGGCCACACUGGAACUGAGACACGGUCCAGACUCCUACGGGAGGCAGCAGUAGGGAAUCUUCCGCAAUGGGCGAAAGCCUGACGGAGCAACGCCGCGUGAGUGAUGAAGGUCUUCGGAUCUUAAAACUCUGUUAUUAGGGAAGAACAAAUGUGUAAGUAACUAUGCACGUCUUGACGGUACCUAAUCAGAAAGCCACGGCUAACUACGUG
RNAcentral lists this ribosomal RNA (497 nucleotides) under uncultured bacterium. Its description in RNAcentral is "partial 16S ribosomal RNA". It matches the Rfam family "Bacterial small subunit ribosomal RNA", at positions 28 to 507 of the family's 1533-position model. The record is from RNAcentral.